This 814-nucleotide long non-coding RNA is filed under the name Bemisia tabaci. Its description in RNAcentral is "lncRNA ENSSSA3NGG008916". Lineage: Eukaryota; Metazoa; Arthropoda; Insecta; Hemiptera; Aleyrodidae. The record is from RNAcentral.
ACCUUGCCGGACACACCAAUCAUAUUUGCUGUAUCUCACUCCAGAUGGAACGCUCCUGAACACUUUUAAAACGAAAGGCUACUGCUUGCAAUACCUUCUCUCUAAAUAUGACAGUGUGAUGAUAGAUGAUUUCGCCGCUUCUUUUGUGAAGCAGUCAGAUGCACACUCUCCGUCAUAGCGAAACAAAAGUCUAUCAUUGGAUUCGUGCGACAAGCUAUGCGACAAGCUCUGACUAAAUGCCUGCUAUAUUUGAAAGAAAGUCUGGAAAGGUACUCCUCUGCACCAAAAGGAGCCUACUUCAUUUGGAUAUUAUUACCCUGCUUAUAGAAUAAAACAAGAGAUUGUCGAUCAAUAAAAAUAAAUUAGUGAAUAAAUCAUUGAAAUGAAACGAAUCCACUUCUAAAAGUCCCUUUUUUUGAGCCGUAAAAAAAUUGUUUUUUACUCAUCAGCCAGCAAGACUGCAUUUUGUAUCCAUCUCCAUCCCUUAAAACUGGAAGUAGGUAUCCUUUCCUUCUAAGGUAUAUAAUUAUAUCAGUAAUAGUAGUGCUAAGUUUUUAUUUAAUAAUAUAAAUAAAAUUAUUUUCUUCUACUUUAAUUGAGUUGUAUGUACCUAUAAUCGUUCCAAAGUUUUCUUCUUUUUUUUACGUGAUUUCGUCUUCCUAAUUCACUCUUCACUCGAGCUGAUUUACAAUGCAAGCAUAGAUGUCAGAGAAAAGAGGCUCCGAGUUUGGUGAAUGUAAUACUAGCUAUUUGUAAGUCCUUAGACUCAAAAUAAAAGAAUGAUUGUUUCUCAAUUUGAGUGAGUUUGUUUUUU